Molecule: long non-coding RNA, 449 nt
Filed under: Cervus hanglu yarkandensis (Yarkand deer)
Lineage: Eukaryota; Metazoa; Chordata; Mammalia; Artiodactyla; Cervidae
Description: lncRNA (ENSCHYG00000020998.1)
Source: RNAcentral
GGGAGUUUGAAGAGGCGUGAAGGGCCCCCCUCUUCCUCCUUCCCCCUCCCUUCUUUUCACCCUCCCUCCCUCCCCCCAACCCGUUCCUUCUUUUUCUCUCCUAUUCUCCAUCCUCCCCAUCCCUCCCUGAAGCAGCCUGUCUUGCCAUUGACCUCUGGAGGAGUCUUGGCCUCUGUCCAAGUCUCUGCUGGGCCAUCCUAGUGCUAUGCUGCCAUCCUGGAUGGGCAGAACCAGUCCUUCCAAUCCUGUCUGCAGCGAUGCCCAGGUUACCUUGAUUGUUUUUUCAGUGUGCCGGACCACGGGAGUCUGCUGGAAGAGAUGCCACCGGACACAGACUGCAACAUCAAGAGAGGAAGUCUUGUAAGGAAGGUAGAAGGCCAAGAUUGCAGAACUCUGCUGUUUGACAAGGGGGAGUGAUGUGAGCAGGAUCACAGGCUACUGGGAGCCAG